This 497-nucleotide ribosomal RNA is filed under the name uncultured bacterium. RNAcentral's name for it is "partial 16S ribosomal RNA". It matches the Rfam family "Bacterial small subunit ribosomal RNA", at positions 28 to 507 of the family's 1533-position model. The record is from RNAcentral.
GAUGAACGCUGGCGGCGUGCCUAAUACAUGCAAGUCGAGCGAACAGACGAGGAGCUUGCUCCUCUGACGUUAGCGGCGGACGGGUGAGUAACACGUGGAUAACCUACCUAUAAGACUGGGAUAACUUCGGGAAACCGGAGCUAAUACCGGAUAACAUGUUGAACCGCAUGGUUCAACAGUGAAAGACGGUCUUGCUGUCACUUAUAGAUGGAUCCGCGCCGCAUUAGCUAGUUGGUAAGGUAACGGCUUACCAAGGCAACGAUGCGUAGCCGACCUGAGAGGGUGAUCGGCCACACUGGAACUGAGACGCGGUCCAGACUCCUACGGGAGGCAGCAGUAGGGAAUCUUCCGCAAUGGGCGAAAGCCUGACGGAGCAACGCCGCGUGAGUGAAGAAGGUCUUCGGAUCGUAAAACUCUGUUAUUAGGGAAGAACAAAUGUGUAAGUAACUAUGCACGUCUUGACGGUACCUAAUCAGAAAGCCACGGCUAACUACGUG